AUCUUGGGGAGAGAGGAGCAUUCUAUAGCGUGGUCAUAUAAAAACCGAUACUUACGUAUCACAGAGAGACAAAGGUUCACCUGCCGAGCAGGAAAUCGGAUCUCCAAAAACCCAACAAUCAAGAUGUGCCGUGGAAUUGAUCUUCCUAACAAGACAAUAAAGAUGGGCUGCAAAGCAUGGGUUCGGGCGUACGUUUUUGAAGUGUUGGACGACCUGUAUACAUACCUCAGCCCAGCUAACCUGAAGAAGGAAAAUAACGAGGACCUUCUCAGCUCGAGUGAAAAAAUCUAUGGGAUACAGGUUUAUCCUGUUCAUAGUAUGCACGAGCCAUGUGGUCAUCUACAAAGCCCUCACCCGGAAGUUGUAAAUAUCAUAAAGGAUAAUGGUUACAAAUGCCAAAAUCUUUGGAGGUUAAG
This is a long non-coding RNA of Bolinopsis microptera, 416 nucleotides long. RefSeq lists it as uncharacterized. Lineage: Eukaryota; Metazoa; Ctenophora; Tentaculata; Lobata; Bolinopsidae. The record is from RefSeq and is a predicted model, not a curated record. The transcript has 4 exons.